This 254-nucleotide ribosomal RNA is filed under the name uncultured bacterium. Its description in RNAcentral is "partial 16S ribosomal RNA". It matches the Rfam family "Bacterial small subunit ribosomal RNA", at positions 524 to 776 of the family's 1533-position model. The record is from RNAcentral.
UACGUAGGGUGCGAGCGUUGUCCGGAAUUAUUGGGCGUAAAGAGCUCGUAGGCGGUGUGUCGCGUCGGCCGUGAAAACCUGGGGCUUAACUCUGGGCGUGCGGUCGAUACGGGCAUCACUGGAGUUCGGCAGGGGAGACUGGAAUUCCUGGUGUAGCGGUGAAAUGCGCAGAUAUCAGGAGGAACACCGGUGGCGAAGGCGGGUCUCUGGGCAACAACUGACGCUGAGGAGCGAAAGCGUGGGGAGCGAACAGG